AGUGAGCUGAGAUUGCACCACUGCACUCAAGCCUGGGCACAGAGCAAGACUCCAUCUCCAAAAACAAAAGCAAAAACUCUCUGAGUCCCAGCAACACCUUCUUUCAGUUCCUCGAACACCUCCUGUCUCUCCUCCAGGAGGUUUUUGUGUAAACUCUACUUGGAAUACCCUUGGCUACCUCUGCCCGCCCUCUGACUAACCCUUCUCAUCCCUCAAACCUCACACUUUGCCUGGAUCACUUCUACUGACCUCAGUUUAAAUGUCACAUCUUUGGGUCAGAUUUUCUUGUCCCAUGACCUCCUAGAACCCUUUUCCUCUUCAGCAUUUAUCACCCUAAUAAAUAAUAAGCUGGAGUUAAGAUAAUAAUGGCUAUGGAAUAUAUGUCUCCCCUACUAAACUGUAACCUCCAUUAUGAAAGGACCCUUUUGAUUUGGCUCAUUCCUAUACCCUGAGCACUCAGUGCAGGGCCUGGAAUACAGAAAUAAUGAAUGAAUGAAUAUGUCCAAGAUGUACUAAAAAAAAAAAAAAAAAAACGAGGGAGCUGCCAAUUCUGCCUGAAUGGGGGAAGGUGCAUGGUGGGGAAGGGGAGCUUCACAGGGCGUUUUCUGGAAGUGCCCAGGGUGAAACUGUGCCUGAAGGAAGCUCAGAUGUCAGUUUUUCAGAUUGUGCUCUCUGUAUAUCUAGGCACUCGUAGAUUCUUCUAGAACUUUAUGUAGUAUUUUGCAAAUAUAGUUAAAUAGAUUUGCGAAUUCAAUAAUUUAUAAAAACUUAAGCUUGUAUUCUUCUAAUGUUCUUCUGAAUCCAGUUAUUUUUCUUCUGCCUCCAAAUUAGACACUUCCCCCAUGCAUUAAUUCCAAGUACAGUCAAAGAUUAAGUAAGGAAAUGAGGCGCAUGAAAAAUUUCUAAUUUUUUUUGCUAAUAAUCUAAUGACUGUGACAUCUAAACACUGAAAACACCUUGAUUUGUGGAUAAUAAGGUUAUCUAGAAUUUUCAAGGGAUCAUGGACAAAUAACAAUAGGCAAUUUGAUCAAGUGGCCAUGUCAAACCAUUGGUGCAGAUACAGACUGAUUAAAGUGGAAAACAUUCUUUUUUUUCUUCCUAGCUUCCUGCUCUGCCAUUGCCUUGAUAAUGUGAGCCAAGGCCCAUUGGCCUCCACAGGACAAGCCCUAGGCUGUACUCUGGGCAUGCUUGAACCUGCCUGACCUGUCACUUCAAGGCCAGCCCUGAGCCUCUGAGAAUGGGCCUGGGAACCAUGAGAAAUUAUGUCUAUUUGCAGCAGGCAGGGCCUCCUUUGGUCUCCAGCAUAGCCCUUGCCCCAUCUGCUCUUUUCACUUUACAUGGGCUACUAGGCAAAGUGGCUUCCUCUUUGGGUUUUGUUACAUACUUUAACGAAGACUGUGCAUGCAGAUGGCCUGGCAUGUACUAGGUGCUCAGGAUGUUGCAGCUACUGAAUUAUUAUCAUUGAUUUCUUCUGCAUGUGACCUGGAUCCACAAGUCAAAUGCAAAAAUUUGUCUUAACUGAUGGUCCUCUCCUGUCUGCCUCCAGUACCCCCUCGUGAGGCUUGCAAGGGCAGGGACCAGAGGGCCCAGCACCAUGUCCUGCUCAUGCUCACUCCUGACUGCAAGGGAGGUAGGGUUGGGAGACGCUGUAACAGGAUAGGCUACAGCUGACUGGGAUGCAGACCGGGGGCCAGGUCCUUGGGAAAUUUGUUCUAAUCUUAGAAGGUAUGCCUUGGCUUCCUGCUGCAGCCUGAAGGACAAGUGUCCCAGACCUCAGGACACACACGCACACUCACACUGUCACUUGACUCCUGCCUGGGAGGCAGGAAUGGCCCCUAGUGAAGGGUACUUGUGUGGGCCUCCAGGUGGCUGUAACAUACCCCAGGACUCCAGGCAACCCUGGAAAGGUGGCUCCCUGGAGCCCAACCGCCCUUCAGACUUAGAGGAGCUCUCUGUGAAGUCAAUUGUAUUAUUGAAUUAACCAACAGUAGAGAGUCAGAGUAGUGCAUGACAGGGAGAUUCUGAACUUACCUUAGAGAGUAACAAAUCAUACAUUUACUUGCUGGCCUAGGUGAGUAAAUCCAUCUAAAUCACCCAUGCCAGCUAUGAAGAGACACUUCUUUCCCGCUCUUGCCCUUUGUGGAAAAAAAGAAGAAGAAGAAGAAGAAGAAGAAGAAGAAGAAGAAGACACUCAAGCUGUUCAGAGGCUGCCAGACUGACAAGGUUGAGUUUGAUCGGCACCUCUGCCCCUGCAUGCCUGCUGGUGGGAAAAGGAAGAAGACAAAAAUGGUUGUGUGUAACCCCCUGAGGCAUUGCUGCCUUCUGCCUCUUCAUCCCAGCACCCUCUCCAUCUCCUUUGCAGCCUUCGCUCACCCUCCCUGUCUUCAGGCUCUGCCAUCACCUUGUAAUUUGAGCCAAGAUUCACCCUUAGGUUUGUCUGACUCCACAAAUCCCAAGCAGGUGCUUCAGGGUCUGCCCUGGGCCCUCCACUCUGGCAACUCACCCUGUCUGAGCACUCCUCCAGUCCUACUCCUCCCCUCAGCUCCCCGUCUCUGUAAAUGACACUCAUCUCCACCCAGAAGCCAGAGCCAGAAAUCUGGGCAUCAUUUUGACUCCUCCCUGCCCCCACCUAUCAGUCCCCAAUUCUGGUCAGUCCUUCCUCCUAAAUUGCUUUUGAGUCCUAUCAAUAAUCUCCCCUCCACUAACCAUACCCCCAUCCAGGCCAUCAUCCUUUCUAGUUUUAAAGACUCCUGAAAUCAACAGAAUAUUGACUCCAACCCUGUGGAUCCAAGCCAUCCUUAAGAUCUCUAUUUAUUCUCAGAUGGACUUACCUGCUCAUGGUCACCACUGGGCCCAGUUUUCUGCCUCUGCUGAAUCUCUGUUCUUGAUUCUCCUAUAAGGAGGGAGCCUCAUCUGCUCUGCUCUGCUCUGAUGAAUCCCUAGAGCCUGGUCUAGGGUCUGGCAUGUUCUGGGCCUCAUUAAUAUCUACUAAGUAGUUCAUUCAACAAACUCCACAUCUUGAAGCUAUUCCUUUACUCCUCUAAAUGUGGACUACGCUCUUGAUUCUCACUCUACAGGUCUAAAAAGCACCCACAAAUAAAAAGGCUGCUGCACACAGUUCAACUUUUACUGAAGGUCUGAAGAUUGCAGGAAGAGGUCGUGCUGACACCACACAGCUAACAAUUCUAAAUCAAGCAUUUGAAAUUCUGAUCCUCACAGUCCUUUCAGCCAUCCCAUUGCCAGAGGUUCUUUCUUUCUUGCCACUUCACCCCAGAAGGGGUCAGCCCUUAUCCAUUUCUCAGCUCUUCUUGCUCCUGCUCUCCUCCACACUCACUCUUCCCAAAUGCGGCUCCCAGUUCCCUUGGCAGAUGCAGACCCCACAAGAAGCUCAGCCCAAUGAAAAGAUCUUCUGCCACCUUCUGCAGGAGGUGGCAUAGUUGCCAACUUGCUCAUUUUUUACCUUCCAUGACAGUGGCAGUGGCCUCUAGACUGGGCUCUCCACCCCUGAAGCCUACUCCUGACCCCCAGCCCACACAUUUCUUACCCUGCAACCAUAGGCAUCUUGCAAAAAUGAAUCUGUGGUUUUGCCUUUUGCUUAGAACCCUCCGGUGACCUCAGAUGGCCCUUAGGCCAGAGUCCCAACUUAGGCAGCCUUUCAUGCUCUGACCUCAUCUUGCACGCAUGCCUACAUGACAGAACUUGUCAUUCCCUGAGGCUUCCCCGGCCUUGAACUCCUCACCUGUGCAGCUCCCUCGUGAGAAUGACCAACUCUACUUACCCUUCAGGCUUGGCCAGUUUGUUACUUCCUCCUGGAAGUCUUAGCUAGCUCUCUCCACUGGAAUGUGAGCUCCAGUGAUAAGCAGUGACUUUCUCUUCUUCCCCACUAUGUUCUCAGAACUCAGAACACAUCGUGGGUGCUUGCAAAUACUUGACCCACUGACUGUAUUAGUUUCCUAUGGCUGCUGUAACAAAUGUCCAACUUAGCGGCUUGCACUGUAUGAACUUAUUAUCUUAGAGUUCUGGAAGUCAAAAGCUCAAGAUGGACUACAAUCAAGUUUUUAGCAGGGCUGCAUUUCUUCUGAAGGGUCUAAGGAAGAAACCAUUUUCUUGCCUUUUUCAGUUUCUAGAGGUUGCCUGCCUUUGCUGGUUUGUGGCUCCUUCCUCCAUCUUCAAAGACAGCAAUGGUGGGUAGAGUCUUUCUUGCCUCCCAUCACUCUGGCUCUCACUCUCCUGCCAUCCUCUUCCACUUUUAAGGGCCCAUGUGAUAAUAUGGGACCCACCAAGUAAUCCAGUCAGCUGAUUGGCAGCCUUAAUUCCGACUGUAAUCUUAAUUCCUAAUUGCCAUUUAAUCUAACAUAUUCACAGGUUCCAGGGAUUAGGAUAUGGACAUCUUUGAGGGCCAUUAUUCUGCUACCAUACUGACUGACCUUAUCAUACUUUACGUACUUGCUUUAUUGUCCCUGUUCCACAGUAGGCCAUAAACUCCAGAGUUAUAGACCGUACUCAUCCUGUCCUUCUCUGUGUAUGUCUCAUCCAGGGUGCUUUCAUUCAUUGUGUCUUUAGAGCCUCAUAACUAUCCCAUGAUAGUUGGGGUAGGUAAGGCAGGUGUUAUGAUCCCAUUUUACAGAUGAGGAGGCUGAGACUGCAAGAGCUCAUGUGAUCUGACACUCAGGAAAGAGACAGAUCCAAGAUGAUGCUCAGGACUAACCUUGCAUUCUUACCAGCAAGCCUCUGAGAGCUCCCUGCAUUAGGCAAUGGGAGAGCAUAUGAAAGAUAGCAAUAAGCAUAAUUGUAAGAAGAAGAGAAGAAGGAGAAGAAAAAGAGGAGGAAGAGGACAUGACAAAUUCCUUUUUAAUAGCACUGCCUUAAAAGAGUCACAGCAGAUUCCCUCUAUUUGCCCAAGGUUUUCAGAAUGGAUUGAAACGUAGAUUGAUACCUAUCUGCUUCCAGGUAAUCCUUCUAAAUAGCAAAUAAUAUAACUUUCCUCAUCAUCCCGGCUUAAGAAAUGAAGUCCACAUGUUGUAGCACAGCCUCAGUAUAACUGCUUUUACCAAGCACUUCCCACAUGCUUAGCGGGCACUUGAGGUAUGAGCCAGCACCGAAGAAGCUCACGGUGAGUGGUGGCUAUGACGGCUGCUAUCAUCUUAGAUACUCCUCAUCACCACACAAUGACACAGGGAUUGCCCACCUGAUUUUACAGAUGUUGAAACUGAGACUCAAGAAAUCAAGUGACUUGCCCAAGGUCACCUAUAUAGCUAAUAAGUUCUGGAGCCUGAAUUAUAACUUGUAUAUGUUUUACUCUGGACAAGCCACGUCUUUCAAUUUCUCUACCUUUCUUUUUGCUUAGACCAUAUCGAACUAAAGUUUCCCAUAGACACCAUGCUUUUCCAUGCUUUUGACACUUUACAUGUACCAGCUAGCCCCUGUGCCUACAACAUGCCUUCCUCCUUCUCCCCUCAUGCCCACCUUCUCUCCUGGCAAGCUGUUAUUUGUCCUUCAAGACUCUGCAUAAGCAUCACUUCCUCGUGAAGUGUUCCCUGAUUCACCUAAGCAGGUUAAGUACCCCUUCUCCUGAGCUUCCAUUGCAGUGUUAUGCAUGUCCCAAUUGCAGCAAUGGCCUGUUUUCAUUCUGAUAGUUUUAUUAUAAGUCUGCCUUUAACUAGAGUAGAAGCUCAUUGAGCUCUAGGACCAUGAAACUUCAUCUUUAUAUCCCCACAUCUGACCAGUGUCGGGCCCAUUAGGUGUUCAAUAAAUAUUCACUGAAUGAAUGAAUAAGUGAACAGCCAUGGACUGAGUGCCCCCUCAAGCCAGACCCUUCACAGGUACUUGACAUGAAACUCACUCUGUCUUCCUCACAGACAUGUAAGCCCUCCCAGUGGAGGGUUGGAAGAGACUUCUCAGAUGUGUCUGCAGCUGCAAGGCAUGCUGGGAGCAGGGAAGGGCUGAGCCUGGGGGUGGAGGGUGCUGAGCACGAGGGAAGGGAAGUCACGAACAUGGAAGCAAUGCCAAUUUCCCUCCAUUGGCCCCUCCUACCCACAAUCCAACAGACUGGCUGUAAGAACUUGACAAUUUUUAUAACAGUUUUAUUGAGAUAUAAUUUACAUACAAGUCACCUAUUUAAAGUGUACAAUGAAAUACUUUUUGGUAUAUUCACAGACUGUGCAACCACCGCCACAGUCAAUUUUAGAACAUUUUCAUCACCGAGAAAGAAGAAAGCUUGUAGGCUUUAGUUAUCACCCCACCUCCUGUCUUCCCAUCUCCUCCAGGCAACUAUUAAUCUACUUUCUUUCUCUCUGGAUUUGCCUAUUCUGAACAUUUCAUAACAAUGGAAUCACAUAAUAUGUGGUCUUUUGUGAUGGGCUUCUUUCACUUAGCAUAAUGUUUUCAAGGUUCAUCACAUUUACUAUAUAUUAGAGCUUCAUUCAUUUUUAUAGGUGAAAAAUAUUCCACUGUGUGGCUGUGUCACAUUUUGUUUCUCCAUUUGUCAGUGAGUGGACAUUGUAUUUAGUCUGUUCUCACACUGCUUAUAAAGACAUAUCCGGCCAGGCACGGUGGCUCACGCCUGUAAUCCCAGCACUUUGGGAGGCUGAGGUGGGUGAACCUCACAAGGUCAGGAGAUCAAAACCAUCCUGGCUAACCAGUGAAAC
This is a non-coding RNA of Macaca mulatta (Rhesus monkey), 6647 nucleotides long. The record is from RefSeq and is a predicted model, not a curated record. Lineage: Eukaryota; Metazoa; Chordata; Mammalia; Primates; Cercopithecidae.